RNAcentral lists this ribosomal RNA (2926 nucleotides) under Escherichia coli. RNAcentral describes it as "23S ribosomal RNA". It matches the Rfam family "Bacterial large subunit ribosomal RNA". The record is from RNAcentral. Lineage: Bacteria; Pseudomonadati; Pseudomonadota; Gammaproteobacteria; Enterobacterales; Enterobacteriaceae.
GGGUUGUGAGGUUAAGCGACUAAGCGUACACGGUGGAUGCCCUGGCAGUCAGAGGCGAUGAAGGACGUGCUAAUCUGCGAUAAGCGUCGGUGAGGUGAUAUGAACCGUUAUAACCGGCGAUUUCCGAAUGGGGAAACCCAGUGUGUUUCGACACACUAUCAUUAACUGAAUCCAUAGGUUAAUGAGGCGAACCGGGGGAACUGAAACAUCUAAGUACCCCGAGGAAAAGAAAUCAACCGAGAUUCCCCCAGUAGCGGCGAGCGAACGGGGAGGAGCCCAGAGCCUGAAUCAGUGUGUGUGUUAGUGGAAGCGUCUGGAAAGGCGUGCGAUACAGGGUGACAGCCCCGUACACAAAAAUGCACAUAUUGUGAGCUCGAUGAGUAGGGCGGGACACGUGGUAUCCUGUCUGAAUAUGGGGGGACCAUCCUCCAAGGCUAAAUACUCCUGACUGACCGAUAGUGAACCAGUACCGUGAGGGAAAGGCGAAAAGAACCCCGGCGAGGGGAGUGAAAAAGAACCUGAAACCGUGUACGUACAAGCAGUGGGAGCCUCUUAAUGGGGUGACUGCGUACCUUUUGUAUAAUGGGUCAGCGACUUAUAUUCUGUAGCAAGGUUAACCGAAUAGGGGAGCCGAAGGGAAACCGAGUCUUAACUGGGCGUUAAGUUGCAGGGUAUAGACCCGAAACCCGGUGAUCUAGCCAUGGGCAGGUUGAAGGUUGGGUAACACUAACUGGAGGACCGAACCGACUAAUGUUGAAAAAUUAGCGGAUGACUUGUGGCUGGGGGUGAAAGGCCAAUCAAACCGGGAGAUAGCUGGUUCUCCCCGAAAGCUAUUUAGGUAGCGCCUCGUGAAUUCAUCUCCGGGGGUAGAGCACUGUUUCGGCAAGGGGGUCAUCCCGACUUACCAACCCGAUGCAAACUGCGAAUACCGGAGAAUGUUAUCACGGGAGACACACGGCGGGUGCUAACGUCCGUCGUGAAGAGGGAAACAACCCAGACCGCCAGCUAAGGUCCCAAAGUCAUGGUUAAGUGGGAAACGAUGUGGGAAGGCCCAGACAGCCAGGAUGUUGGCUUAGAAGCAGCCAUCAUUUAAAGAAAGCGUAAUAGCUCACUGGUCGAGUCGGCCUGCGCGGAAGAUGUAACGGGGCUAAACCAUGCACCGAAGCUGCGGCAGCGACGCUUAUGCGUUGUUGGGUAGGGGAGCGUUCUGUAAGCCUGUGAAGGUGGCCUGUGAGGGUUGCUGGAGGUAUCAGAAGUGCGAAUGCUGACAUAAGUAACGAUAAAGCGGGUGAAAAGCCCGCUCGCCGGAAGACCAAGGGUUCCUGUCCAACGUUAAUCGGGGCAGGGUGAGUCGACCCCUAAGGCGAGGCCGAAAGGCGUAGUCGAUGGGAAACAGGUUAAUAUUCCUGUACUUGGUGUUACUGCGAAGGGGGGACGGAGAAGGCUAUGUUGGCCGGGCGACGGUUGUCCCGGUUUAAGCGUGUAGGCUGGUUUUCCAGGCAAAUCCGGAAAACCAAGGCUGAGGCGUGAUGACGAGGCACUACGGUGCUGAAGCGACAAAUGCCCUGCUUCCAGGAAAAGCCUCUAAGCAUCAGGUAACAUCAAAUCGUACCCCAAACCGACACAGGUGGUCAGGUAGAGAAUACCAAGGCGCUUGAGAGAACUCGGGUGAAGGAACUAGGCAAAAUGGUGCCGUAACUUCGGGAGAAGGCACGCUGAUAUGUAGGUGAAGCGACUUGCUCGUGGAGCUGAAAUCAGUCGAAGAUACCAGCUGGCUGCAACUGUUUAUUAAAAACACAGCACUGUGCAAACACGAAAGUGGACGUAUACGGUGUGACGCCUGCCCGGUGCCGGAAGGUUAAUUGAUGGGGUUAGCGGUAACGCGAAGCUCUUGAUCGAAGCCCCGGUAAACGGCGGCCGUAACUAUAACGGUCCUAAGGUAGCGAAAUUCCUUGUCGGGUAAGUUCCGACCUGCACGAAUGGCGUAAUGAUGGCCAGGCUGUCUCCACCCGAGACUCAGUGAAAUUGAACUCGCUGUGAAGAUGCAGUGUACCCGCGGCAAGACGGAAAGACCCCGUGAACCUUUACUAUAGCUUGACACUGAACAUUGAGCCUUGAUGUGUAGGAUAGGUGGGAGGCUUUGAAGUGUGGACGCCAGUCUGCAUGGAGCCGACCUUGAAAUACCACCCUUUAAUGUUUGAUGUUCUAACGUUGGCCCGUAAUCCGGGUUGCGGACAGUGUCUGGUGGGUAGUUUGACUGGGGCGGUCUCCUCCUAAAGAGUAACGGAGGAGCACGAAGGUUGGCUAAUCCUGGUCGGACAUCAGGAGGUUAGUGCAAUGGCAUAAGCCAGCUUGACUGCGAGCGUGACGGCGCGAGCAGGUGCGAAAGCAGGUCAUAGUGAUCCGGUGGUUCUGAAUGGAAGGGCCAUCGCUCAACGGAUAAAAGGUACUCCGGGGAUAACAGGCUGAUACCGCCCAAGAGUUCAUAUCGACGGCGGUGUUUGGCACCUCGAUGUCGGCUCAUCACAUCCUGGGGCUGAAGUAGGUCCCAAGGGUAUGGCUGUUCGCCAUUUAAAGUGGUACGCGAGCUGGGUUUAGAACGUCGUGAGACAGUUCGGUCCCUAUCUGCCGUGGGCGCUGGAGAACUGAGGGGGGCUGCUCCUAGUACGAGAGGACCGGAGUGGACGCAUCACUGGUGUUCGGGUUGUCAUGCCAAUGGCACUGCCCGGUAGCUAAAUGCGGAAGAGAUAAGUGCUGAAAGCAUCUAAGCACGAAACUUGCCCCGAGAUGAGUUCUCCCUGACCCUUUAAGGGUCCUGAAGGAACGUUGAAGACGACGACGUUGAUAGGCCGGGUGUGUAAGCGCAGCGAUGCGUUGAGCUAACCGGUACUAAUGAACCGUGAGGCUUAACCUUACAACGCCGAAG